RNAcentral lists this ribosomal RNA (1107 nucleotides) under uncultured organism. Its description in RNAcentral is "bacterial SSU rRNA". It matches the Rfam family "Bacterial small subunit ribosomal RNA", at positions 24 to 1114 of the family's 1533-position model. The record is from RNAcentral.
UCAGGACGAACGUUGGCGGCGUGCUUAACACAUGCAAGUCUGCGAGAAAGUUAUAGCAAUAUAGCGAGUAAAGCGGCGAAAGGGUGCGUAACGCGUAAGCAACUUGCCCAUAGGAUGGGGAUAACGUCGAGAAAUCGGCGCUAAUACCCAAUAAUGCAGCGGCAUCGCAUGAUGAUGUUGUUAAAGGUCGCUUCGGUGGCGCCUAUGGAUGGGCUUGCGUCUGAUUAGUUAGUUGGCGAGGUAACGGCUCACCAAGACGACGAUCAGUAGCUGGUCUGAGAGGAUGAUCAGCCACACUGGAACUGAGACACGGUCCAGACUCCUACGGGAGGCAGCAGUGAGGAAUAUUGGGCAAUGCCCGCAAGGGUGACCCAGCAACGCCGCGUGGAGGAUGACAGCCGUAAGGUUGUAAACUCCUGUUCGGGGGGACGAAUAACCGUCGUUUGCAAAGGCGACGGCUUGACGGUACCCUCAGAGAAAGCCCCGGCUAACUACGUGCCAGCAGCCGCGGUAAUACGUAGGGGGCAAACGUUGUCCGGAUUUACUGGGUGUAAAGGGCGCGCAGGCCGGUCGGUCAGUCAGAGGUGAAAGCCCACAGCUUAACUGUGGAACUGCCUUUGAUACUGCCGAUCUUGAGUGCGGGAGAGAGAAGCGGAAUUCCAGGUGUAGUGGUGAAAUACGUAGAUAUCUGGAAGAACACCGGUUGCGAAGGCGGCUUCUUGGACCGACACUGACGCUGAGGCGCGAAAGCGUGGGUAGCGAACAGGGAUUAGAUACCCUGGUAGUCCACGCUGUAAACGAUGAAUGUUAGAUAUCGGGGGAGGGUUUCCUUCCGCGUCGAAGCUAACGCAAUGCACAUUCCACCUGGGAAGUACGAUCGCAAGGCUGGAACUCAAAGGAAAUGACGGGGGCGCGGCACAACCAAUGGAGCAUAUCGUGUAAUUCGAUGCAACGCGAAGAACCUUACCUAGGCUUGAAAUGAGUAUCGAUCGGUCGUGAAAGCGACCCUACUUCGGGCGGACACACAGAUGCAGCAUGGCAGUCGUCAGCUCAUGCCGCGAGGUGAUGGUGUUAAGUCCAAGCAACGAGCGCGAGCCCUACCAUUAG